AGAGUGGGGGUUUAGAGUAACAAACAAAGGUAUAACUUGCGAACAGAAGGAGAAGAUCAGAGAGGUCAACCGUAAAAGAAACAGCCAAAAUUUUACAUUACAACGGUUACUCCUUUUUAUCUCUUUUCCUUUUGCCGUUUCUCCUCCACGGCGUUACUUUUUCUAGUUUUCUAUUUAAUUUCUUUUAUAUUUCUAAAAAAUAAAAGGACAAAAAGAAAAGUUCGUUUUUGAAACU
This 235-nucleotide long non-coding RNA is filed under the name Brassica napus (rape). RNAcentral describes it as "long non-coding RNA (BNAP_LNC006295)". The record is from RNAcentral. Lineage: Eukaryota; Viridiplantae; Streptophyta; Magnoliopsida; Brassicales; Brassicaceae.